Molecule: ribosomal RNA, 462 nt
Filed under: uncultured bacterium
Lineage: Bacteria
Description: partial 16S ribosomal RNA
Rfam family: Bacterial small subunit ribosomal RNA
Source: RNAcentral
GAUGAACGCUGACAGAAUGCUUAACACAUGCAAGUCUUUGGCGAAGCUGUGCUUGCACAGCCUAGCCAAGGCGGACGGGUGAGUAACGCGUAAGGAACUUGCCCUGCAGUCAGGGAUAACAGACGGAAACGACUGAUAAGACCUGGUAAAGUCAGGCGGACUCAUGUCCAGCCUGAUGAAAAGAGAUGCUGCAGGAGAGCCUUGCGUCCUAUUAGCUUGUUGGUGGGGUAACGGCCCACCAAGGCGAUGAUAGGUAGCCGGCCUGAGAGGGUGGACGGCCACAAGGGGACUGAGAUACGGCCCUUACUCCUACGGGAGGCAGCAGUGGGGAAUAUUGGACAAUGGGGGCAACCCUGAUCCAGCAAUUCUGUGUGCACGAUGAAGGUUUUCGGAUUGUAAAGUGCUUUCUGCAGGGAAGAAAAAAUGACGGUACCUGCAGAAGAAGCGACGGCUAAAUACGUG